UGGCUUGCCCUGCUGUUCUCUGG
RNAcentral lists this non-coding RNA (23 nucleotides) under Cricetulus griseus (Chinese hamster). The record is from RNAcentral. Lineage: Eukaryota; Metazoa; Chordata; Mammalia; Rodentia; Cricetidae.